This 527-nucleotide ribosomal RNA is filed under the name Botrytis cinerea. Its description in RNAcentral is "eukaryotic LSU rRNA". The stretch from base 178 to 331 matches the Rfam family "5.8S ribosomal RNA". Lineage: Eukaryota; Fungi; Ascomycota; Leotiomycetes; Helotiales; Sclerotiniaceae. The record is from RNAcentral.
CGUAGGUGAACCUGCGGAAGGAUCAUUACAGAAGUUCAUGCCCGAAAGGGGUAGACCUCCCACCCUUGUGUAUUAUUACUUUGUUGCUUUGGCGAGCUGCCUUCGGGCCUUGUAUGCUCGCCAGAGAAAACCAAAACUCUUUUUAUUAAUGUCGUCUGAGUACUAUAUAAUAGUUAAAACUUUCAACAACGGAUCUCUUGGUUCUGGCAUCGAUGAAGAACGCAGCGAAAUGCGAUAAGUAAUGUGAAUUGCAGAAUUCAGUGAAUCAUCGAAUCUUUGAACGCACAUUGCGCCCCUUGGUAUUCCGGGGGGCAUGCCUGUUCGAGCGUCAUUUCAACCCUCAAGCUUAGCUUGGUAUUGAGUCUAUGUCAGUAAUGGCAGGCUCUAAAAUCAGUGGCGGCGCCGCUGGGUCCUGAACGUAGUAAUAUCUCUCGUUACAGGUUCUCGGUGUGCUUCUGCCAAAACCCAAAUUUUUCUAUGGUUGACCUCGGAUCAGGUAGGGAUACCCGCUGAACUUAAGCAUAUCA